This 220-nucleotide ribosomal RNA is filed under the name Symbiodinium sp. clade A. Its description in RNAcentral is "partial Bacterial large subunit ribosomal RNA". It matches the Rfam family "Bacterial large subunit ribosomal RNA", at positions 1585 to 1790 of the family's 2925-position model. Lineage: Eukaryota; Dinophyceae; Suessiales; Symbiodiniaceae. The record is from RNAcentral.
CCGUAGUCAUUCAUCCCAUGCCGCCAAGAAAAACUUCUAAACGAGAACCCGUGGCGACCGUACCGUAAACCGACACAGGUGGGCAAGGUGAGUAACCUGAGGCGCUCGAGAUAACUGUUGCUAAGGAACUCGGCAAGUUAGCCCCGUAACUUCGGAAGAAGGGGCGCCUCUCGGGGUGAAGGUCCUGCGACUGGAGCUCUGAGAGGCCGCAGUGAAGAGG